GAAAGCUGGUUCCCAGUCAACAGAAACAUCACCACCAAGACCAGGCAAGACAUUCAGAUCAAAAAUGUGCCUGCAAGUCUUCAUGUAUAACCUUUGAGAGUCCACAUUUGUCUUCUAGUUAGAGACAUUGGGGAUCUCCUUGGUAAAGGGGGUGCUCCAACCAAUAACAAAAGGACAUUUCUAUAUGGCUCUUCAUUCCCAAUGCUCACUCCCCAAGGCUGUGGGGAACUGUCAGCCUAUGCACUUCAGAGAUUACCUAUGUAUUCAUCCCACCUGAGAUCUAGACCCCAGGAUCUUCUUCUGUGAAAGAAAACCCCAUUCCUCCACUUCAGGGGGAAAAGAACCCUAUGGGCUGUGUCCUCCACACUGGUACUCCUACCCGUCCAGAACUUGGGCCUGUUCUAAUUAAAGACACACCCCAUGAGGAGUAUGGGUUAAAGGUCAUGUUUACCUCCAGGAGAGGGGGAAUCUGAGCAGAAGCCAGUUCCUUAUGUAAAGCUGGAUUUCUCAGAGAUCUUUCUUAUAAGUAGUCUCAAAAAUUGCUGAUUUUUAUAAUGUUGUUAAAGUCAUCUUUCUGGCUCAUGAGAAACUAUAUUGAAAGAAUAUCAGAAAUAACACCACAGAAAAAAAUAUUUUAACUAGAGCCCUACGGUCAUCAGUGAGUUCGAUUCCCAGAUUUGCUUUUUAAAACUCCUUGCUUCAUAAAUGGUUGAUUUGAGGGCCAUGAACUGUUCACUUCACAUUUUUCUAGUAUUAACUGUUUGAAAUUUUAAAAUAUCUCGUAGUAACUGUUUAGAAUGUAUGUAAAUAAAGGGCUGCCGGAAUUUCUCAAGGGGAAUAAAGCAAUUUACUUCCUAUGUCAGCAUAGGCUUUCUCUUUUGGUUCCUCUCACACGUUAUUUGAUGGGGCAACCCCAGGAUUUUUU
Molecule: long non-coding RNA, 925 nt
Filed under: Marmota monax (woodchuck)
Lineage: Eukaryota; Metazoa; Chordata; Mammalia; Rodentia; Sciuridae
Source: RNAcentral